Long non-coding RNA from Gorilla gorilla gorilla (western lowland gorilla), 612 nucleotides. RefSeq lists it as uncharacterized. The transcript is spliced from 2 exons. The record is from RefSeq and is a predicted model, not a curated record. Lineage: Eukaryota; Metazoa; Chordata; Mammalia; Primates; Hominidae.
GGGAGGGGCUGUGGUUUCAGAGGCUGACGCAGCUGGCUGGCCUUCUGCUCCUGGUCUCCCGGAGGCUCCCUUCCCUCAGCAAUAGAAGGGUCUUGCUCUGUUGCCCAGGCUGGAGUGCAGUGGUGUGAUCUCGGCUUACUGCAGCCUCUACCUCCCAGGCACAAGCGAUCCUCCCAACUCAGACUCCCGAGUAGCUGGGACUACAGGCACGUGCCACCACACCCAGCUAAUUUUUAUUUUUUGUAGAGACGGGGUCUGGCCAUGCUGCCCAGGCUCCUCUAUAUUUCUUACAUAUGUGAAGGCUCGAUAUGGCUCUCCCAGGAAGAUGGGCAAAGGGGAAUGUGUGAGGGGCUCUGGUCUGAGAACAAAAUCCUCAUGAUUUUUGCUUCAUAGCCAGUAGACAGUAGGUAAUAACUAGAAAAAUGAGCAAAUAGCAACCUAAACAUAUUACUCAGAAAUGAGCUGAUACUCGUAGACAUGCUAAAAUUGCUGAAAAUGGUUGUUCCUGGAGAGUAGUAGUGGGGGUUGGUGUGGGAAACUGCAGCUUUUCAUUUUCAGCCAUGUAAUCCUAUUACCCUGUAUGACUUUGAUAAAAAUUUGAAAGAAUAUGUA